UACGUAGGGUGCAAGCGUUAAUCGGAAUUACUGGGCGUAAAGCGUGCGCAGGCGGCUUUGCAAGACAGAUGUGAAAUCCCCGGGCUUAACCUGGGAACUGCAUUUGUGACUGCAUGGCUGGAGUGCGGCAGAGGGGGAUGGAAUUCCGCGUGUAGCAGUGAAAUGCGUAGAUAUGCGGAGGAACACCGAUGGCGAAGGCAGCAGACUGGGCAUCACCUGACGCUGAGGCGCGAAAGCGUGGGUAGCAAACAGG
Molecule: ribosomal RNA, 253 nt
Filed under: uncultured bacterium
Lineage: Bacteria
Description: partial 16S ribosomal RNA
Rfam family: Bacterial small subunit ribosomal RNA
Source: RNAcentral